UGGGAAACCAGGCUGCUAGAGGCAAGAUGCAGGGCAGAAGGCUGAUACUCCAAGAGACUGAAAAAUAGCCAAGAGAAAUAAUGGAGCUGGAUAAGAAGUCAAAGUCCUUCUGUGGCAGGGGCCCUUUAUCUAUUUCCUGCCAAAGGGCCAAGACCACCUAAGUUCAAUUUCCUGCUCUGCUACAUACUAGCUAUCAGACUUGGGCAUAGAAUGAUGCAGCAAGAAGGCCCUUGCAAGACGCCAGCCACUUGAUUUUGAAAUUCCCAGUCAGAACUGUAAGAAAUAAAUUUCUGUUCUUUAUUAAUUACCCAGUCUCAGGUAUUCUGUUGUACCAGCACAAAAUGGACUAAGACAGUCAUAAUGAUUUAUCCUAUUUAUAUGUUGCUGAAUUCUAUUUGAUAAUAUUUGGUUUGAAUUUUUUCAUUUAU
RNAcentral lists this long non-coding RNA (428 nucleotides) under Homo sapiens (human). Its description in RNAcentral is "HSALNT0287183". Lineage: Eukaryota; Metazoa; Chordata; Mammalia; Primates; Hominidae. The record is from RNAcentral.